GGUCUGUUUUUAUUUACUUGGGUCUUUUAGGACAGAGCUUUUAUCGUCGUCGAUAGGUGUCAAUCAAAAACAAGUUCCCCUGAUUAGUCGUUCGUUAAAUUUAGUAUACUUGUACAAUGUGACUGUUUUCGCGGGCCCUUUGCCAGGGUAGAUUUCGCCGAUCGACGAACUCCCAAACUAUUCGUCACGGUGAAAUCACAACGAGCCAAGAAAUAAAACCGCAUUUCGCAAGAACUAAAGAAGAAAAAAAAACAAAGUGCAGACAUAAGUGUUAAUUAUUUACAAAAACAAUCGAAUGACGACAAUGGGUUUGCCUGAGCGCAUCACAUUCCGCGCUAAAAGGAAGGUUUUGUGGAACAUACGGAGAACGUUAUUUUGGGAUUAGAGUACUAUCGCGAUGUCCAUUAAAGAAUUGUGAUAAGGUCGUCAUUAUUUCUACAACAGCAUCCAUUGAUGGUCUUUCUUCGGGAGAUUUGUGCCAACAUCUGAAACAACCGAUCGUUUCUUUUCUUACUACAUCUUACAAACGAUUUAUAAAUGUUUAUUUAGAAUCGUUGAAUCAUCAUGCGAAAAACGAAAGGGAAAGUAAUCUCGCCAUCUGGCACAGUCGAAUCCUUAAUGGACAAAUAUCAUUGAAGACAAUUUCACUUACCACUAAAAUUUGCUCCCAGUGCCUAACCAUUGAAGGGGAUGAAAGAGUGGAUUGUUGUCCCAAAGGAGAAUCCAUAGUUGCUAAAGGACCUUAAUUUCUUUAAAAGAAAAUAUUAUGAUGAACUAUGUGCCCCAAUCUUCACCCUCACUUAGGACAAAACCUAAAAUUCAUAAGAAGAAAUUUAGAAAAGCCCUAAUUAGAAACGCAGAACAAUCUCAGAAUGGAGAAUUAUGAAACUGUUAAAGUUAUCCUAGCACCAGGUAGAUUGACCGCCACCUUACACAUUCCUAUUCUAAAAUACUCUAAACUAUUCUAAAAUACCAGCAUUCCAAACAAUCAAUCCGAUACUCAUACCCUUCAACAUUUCUACAUUCCCUCCUUAUACCUCAAUCAAAUUCCAACUGAUUAUUGAUUGAUGACCGUUAAUUUAUUAUUCCCUACUUCCCAUGAUCUUAGACAUGAUAAUUAAAAAGCAUAGCAUUAUCUUUUAUUUUUUUAGUACUUAAGACCAUUGAUUAUUUAAGAAGAAGAAUAACAAGGAGUACACAUGAUCAUAUUAAAUACUUUUAAACAAAUGUUUUUCUGUUACAGGAAAGGAAGAUUCGAAGACGCUAUGUAUAAAAUCUUAAAUUUCAACCUGUAUAGGUAAUAGCUUUUCACAAUUUAUAUAAAUUGUGAAUAAAUAGAAAAUUCAUUAAAGAUUACCAUAGUAAUGAUUCAAUUACACAAUUGAAUCCUUAUAAAUAAUAUCAGAAUAAUAUGAUGACUCUUCAGAGAAGAAUAUUUUAAACAUACAACUUUUAUGUUAUGAGAAAAGGGUUUAUUCUAUUACAAUUUAACAAAAUACAUAGUUAAAAAUGAUUUGGGCACAGCAUAUGGAAAAAUUAUCAAGAUAUCAUAUACAAAUAAGAUAAGCAAGUAAUGUAAAAUAAAUAUAAAAUUAUUUAAAAAAGCUCUAAAUAACAAUCAACGUACUUAAAAACAUUUUUCCACCUGAAAAGAAG
This 1656-nucleotide unclassified non-coding RNA is filed under the name Bombus terrestris (buff-tailed bumblebee). Its description in RNAcentral is "misc RNA ENSBTSG00005027633.1". Lineage: Eukaryota; Metazoa; Arthropoda; Insecta; Hymenoptera; Apidae. The record is from RNAcentral.